GAGACAGCUCAUAUUCCAUUCGUUCUAGGUUUUUCUCCCACCUGCUCACAAAAGCUGUGAGCCUCCUAGAAGUGCUCCUGAGUAGUUUAGGGGUGUGCUUAGAUGCAGCCUACUAUAUCCACUGCCAGUGACAGCAAGGCCUAGCUCAGAAGAGAUGUCCACUGGCUUCCCCCAUCACCUCCAAGCUCUCCCUACCAGUCAGGGCAUUUGGUAUGUGUGAGGCCUUUGGUAUGUGAAGAACACCUCUCUACCCUUUGUGUCACAUUCAAUCAACAUAUCCCAAACUAAGCUGUGGUGCCUCCUAUCUUAUUGGCUUUUUCACUAGGAGAUCUCAGUUUACUCACAUGCCCCUGCCCUAUAAAGAAACCAGCCAUGAAUUCAAGGGCUAGUCCAGGUGCUGGCUCGACUCCGGAUUGCACUUCCCGUCAGCAACUAAGGGUCAAUGUGUCACGUCUGCCCCUUAGGAAGCCAUUCAUGCCCUCACCCAAGGAACCUUCUAGUUAGCCUAGCUGCCUCAUUCAGUUAAGUCUGUACCCACUUAUCCCCAGUCGGAGAUCCUUUGUCCAUGAGAGGAGAGAGACCACUAGAGAAAGCCACAGUGACAGCCACCCUCUCUGUGUGGCCGUCUGAGGCAGCUGAGAAGACCUGGGCCUGAGCACUGGGGAGAAAGGAUUGCUCCACUCCAAGGGAAAAGCAAAUUGACAUCAGAUUAUUUUCCUACAGCUUUUCCCACUUCUUAAUAUUUGCCACAUUGCAUUCCACAUUCCAAUUUUCAAAAGGACAGGAGCAUUAAUAAUAUAAAAGAAAGAAGUGAAAUUAACCGGAAUCAAGAACUUUAUUAUUUUCAAGUGUAAAAAAAGCAUGAGAUUUAUGGCUGAGCAUCAAGUAUAGCUUUGACCUGAAAUGUUCUCUUCGAGAUACCAGGGGAACCACCUGGCUUAGAACCAGACCUGCAGGGAUACUGUGACACUUCAAUAAAUCAAAUUAAAGUUAUUUAUUAAGUUGGGUCAGAUUUCGGAUUUCUCAGUUUUUCUUGCUUGCUGUCGUUUUUGCUUUCUUUUAAAGGUUUCUAAAUUUCUUAAUUUAAUAGAGAAUAAGGCCUUCUCUCUCAAUUACCUACUUCCCAUUCGGAUCUGCUGAGUUUUAACUUCCAUAUGUUACUCAGAACACUAAAAGCCCAUUUAUAAAUAUUAAUUCAGGUAAUGACUGUUUAAGAGCUUCAAGGCCCCAAUUCAUUAUCUCUUUUUGAUAUCAGCUCAGGCUUCGAUUCACACAUUUCCAAUUUAACUGAGGGUAGAGGGGAAGCAAAAAAAAAUUACUUUUGGAGAAAAGAAAGUUGACUUGUCCUGGUGUUUCAAGCCAGCAUCCCAGUAAAAACUGAUACCUCUCUUUAGUUCUAGCACCAGUUGAGGAGUAGGGAGAAAGACGCUGAACAUUUUUUAACAUAGAUCAGGACUUCUAUAUCAUUACUUUAUUGAAAGUGCUGUGCAUACAUAAGCAAGGUACAUUUGCACUUUUUGGCACUGAAACCCAGAUCUGCAGGGGCACACAGCACUCCCUCCUCCCAUGUGAAGCUUCAAACACUACACUUGAGCAGUUUCGGUCCAUGCAUGUAAAGAGAUAAAUGUUUCCUGAGCAUUUUAAAGAAUACAUCCCCAUCCCCACCCCAGGAAGACAAAGAAUUGUGGCUCCUACAUAUUCUUGCCUAAGGUUGUACAAUGGGCCCAAAGAAGCUGUGGGAUCUGAAGAUGAUGUUUCUGUCACCUACAGCUAGCUUCUCUUUGGUAAUUGCUAAAAAUGCAUAUUCCUGCACCCCCAUCAUCUGAAUCAUAAUCUCUUUUGUUGACUGGGGAAUCUUUUUGUUUGUUUCUUUGUUCUUUUUAGACAUGCAUGACAGUAGAGUAUUUUUUUUCUGCUUUAAAAAAAUUGUUAGUGCAUGCUAAUUAUUCAGAAUAGUGACUUUUAUUAUGACAUAUUCAUACAUGCAUAUAACUUAUUUUUGUUCUUUUUAGAUAUACAUGACGGUAGAGUAUAUUCUGACAUAUUAUACAUACAUGAAAUAUAAGUUAUUCUAAUUAGGAUCCCAUUAUUGCAGUUGUACAUGAUGUGGAGUUUCACUGGUAGUGUAUUCAAAUGUGAACAUAGGAAAGUUAUGUCCUUAUUCAUUCUACUGUCUUCCUUAUUCCCAUUCCCUCUACUUUCCCUUCCUUCCCUUUAGUCUAAUCCAGUGAGCUUGACUGGUGAUUUUUUUUUUUAAUACCAGGGAUUGAACUCAGGGGCACUUGACCACUGAGCUACAUCCCCAGCCCUAUUUUGUAUUUUAUUUAGAGACGGGGUCUCACUGAAUUGCUUAGCACCUCACUUUUGCUGAGGCUGGCUUUGAACUCGUGAUCCUCCUGCCUCAACCUCUGGAGCCACUGGAAUUAGAGGCAUGAGCCACUUUGCCCAGCUUGACUGGGAAUCUUCAGUUUUGUUUGUUUGUUUGUUUGUUUGUUUGUUUUUAGAUGGGGUCUCACUGUGUUGCCCAGGCUGGCUUCAAACUCUCUAUCCUCCCAUCUUAACCUCCAAAGUAGCUGGGAUUACAGGCAUGCAUCAUCACAUUCAGAGGAAUCUUUACUUUUUUAGCAGAUUCCUCUGGCACAUUACUAUUUGAGAGUUACUUCACCAAAUUCUAAAAGGAAACUAA
This 2686-nucleotide long non-coding RNA is filed under the name Marmota monax (woodchuck). The record is from RNAcentral. Lineage: Eukaryota; Metazoa; Chordata; Mammalia; Rodentia; Sciuridae.